This 823-nucleotide ribosomal RNA is filed under the name uncultured bacterium. RNAcentral's name for it is "bacterial SSU rRNA". It matches the Rfam family "Bacterial small subunit ribosomal RNA", at positions 59 to 876 of the family's 1533-position model. The record is from RNAcentral.
CAGUCGAACGGAGAUUAUACGCAGAGGCGAUUUCGGUCAAAUCAUGUGUAAUCUUAGUGGCGGACGGGUGAGUAACGCGUGGGUAACCUGCCUUACACUGGGGGAUAACACUUAGAAAUAGGUGCUAAUACCGCAUAAGCGCACGAAGCCGCAUGGAUUUGUGUGAAAAACUCCGGUGGUGUAAGAUGGACCCGCGUCUGAUUAGCUUGUUGGCGGGGUAACGGCCCACCAAGGCGACGGUCAGUAGCCGGCCUGAGAGGGUGGACGGCCACAUUGGGACUGAGACACGGCCCAAACUCCUACGGGAGGCAGCAGUGGGGGAUAUUGGACAAUGGGGGGAACCCUGAUCCAGCGACGCCGCGUGAGUGAAGAAGUAUUUCGGUAUGUAAAGCUCUGUCAGCAGGGAAGAAAGAAAUGACGGUACCUGACCAAGAAGCCCCGGCUAACUACGUGCCAGCAGCCGCGGUAAUACGUAGGGGGCAAGCGUUAUCCGGAAUUACUGGGUGUAAAGGGAGCGUAGACGGUUAAGUAAGUCUGGAGUGAAAGUCCGGGGCCCAACCCCGGGACUGCUCUGGAAACUAUUUAACUUGAGUGCAGGAGAGGUAAGCGGAAUUCCUAGUGUAGCGGUGAAAUGCGUAGAUAUUAGGAGGAACACCAGUGGCGAAGGCGGCUUACUGGACUGUAACUGACGUUGAGGCUCGAAAGCGUGGGGAGCAAACAGGAUUAGAUACCCUGGUAGUCCACGCCGUAAACGAUGAUUACUAGGUGUCGGUGGGUAUGGACCCAUCGGUGCCGCAGCAAACGCAGUAAGUAAUCCACCUGG